GUCAGUAGCAGUCUCUGCGAUCACAGGUGUUCCGCUAUCCCUAGCGGGCUUGACUGCAAGGCAUCGUGUUGUUGACGACGUCGAGACGUAGGCGAGACGCGGGCGGAGAGAGGAGAGAGCUUCCGCUGGAAACAGGAAGAGCUGCGAAAGCACUUACUUUUGUUUUUUCUUUGUUUGCCCCGGGUCACCACGUGCGUGAUAGCAGUAAUUUAAAAAGCGCCACACAAUGCUUCGGACUUGGCACAACACGAUCGGCACGAACUGUGGUGAUGAAGGGGUCUGAGCCACCUCCUUCGAGGGACGUUGUUGUCAACAUGCGACCGAUACCGGGAGUCGGAUAUUGGGCGGCCCUCCUCGUGUGCGCCACGCUGCUUCUCAUCAGUCCGGUGGCGUCCAGCCUGCACAUCCUCCACCUGUCGGUGCCCAAGUGGGUGCAGAACGGCACCGAGGACUCCGUGGUUCUGGACUGCGUGUACAACGCGAACCGCGAGGACGAGCACCUGGUGAUCAAGUGGUUCCUCAACGACGACCCGCACCCCAUCUACCAGUGGAUCCCAGAGCUGAACAAGCGGUUCGUGUCCAGUCGCCUCAAGGAUCGCAUCAACCUGGACUACUCGCUCACCAACGGAAACAGCUUCACCAAGUUCCGCGCGCUCAACCUGGUGCGGCCAACCACCGAGCUGAGUGGCCGAUACUCCUGCCACGUCAUGUCGCUCGCGGGUCAAGACUCCGAGUCCAAGCUCAUGACCGUCUACGCUCCUCCCAAGAGGUUUGACUUCACCUACGAGCGGGUGUCGGCGCACGUGACGAACCUGUCGUGCGAGGCGGACGGCGUGUUCCCACAGCCGACGCUGUUCCUCUACCAGAGCAGCGGCCGGGACCCCGUGUCGCGACCUGUGGCAUCGGCGCCUGCCAGAAUGGCAGCCCCAACCCCCGCGGAAGGCGCUGCCGGCUACCACGUGCGCCUGACGUACGCGCUCGACAGCCGCACGCUGGACGUGUCCGGGCACGUAGAGUACGUGUUCGAGUGCGUGCUUGCCAUCCCGGAGACCAACUAUAGGCAGCAGCGACGGCUAGAGUUUGAACCCGGACGAUUGGUCAGCACAGCGAGCCGACUUUACACCGUGGACAUUUUGCUGAGGGUGCUGACAGGCGUGUUCGCACUGAUGGAUCUCGCAUAGCAACCGGCGCACUAGCAGGAAUGACGUCGCUGGAAUCAAAACCAAAGAACCAAGUAGGAGGAUCGCGUGCAUUUCACAACGUCGAAUGUAGAACGACGUCCUUGCCCGGUAUGCCGUCGCUUGAAAGAGAGCGGUGGUCGAAACGUCGGUCACCGCGCCCACUAUGUCGCCCGUCACGGACAUCCAUGUCCACAAGCAUCAGUGCCUCCUGUUCAAGCGUGCAGAGCGCAAGCGUGUGCUCGUCUUCGAUGCGCGAACAUCUACGCGCGUGCACUUGUGUGUGUGUGUGUUUUCGUUUUGCGCGCUUGUGACUCGCUCUCUAUCUCCACAGCGACGUUGGACAGCAGAGCACAUCCGAAACGUCACAUUGCAGUCCGCGUCACCGUUCGCUUCCGAAACUUCCCAUUUCCGAGUAAUGCCUCUAUUAUUUUCUUAAACAUGUCGCACUCUCUUAAGACUCCACAUGGCACUUCCUCACUUUCCAGCACGUUGGCCAUGUCCCCUCUAAUGGACCAUACUCUCACAACGUUUGAAAAAAAAAUGCAUCCGACUCAGUGAUUACAGUGUGUAGUCUCUUCUGUCGCUGAUUUUGCAGAAGGCCUCGUACGCGCAGCCAUCAAACUCACCGUGACAUCACCGUCAUCUAAAAAAAAGGAAAGAAAGAAAGAAAGAAAGAAAGAAAAAGCGGAUGAGAGACACGACGCAGUAGUGUCGGAAUAGGCCACGGUAGUGAUGACGUUGACGAAAGCAAGUUGUUAUGUGACGAACAACAUCCACUGUGAAAACUGUCGGUAUUCGACAUCGUAUUUGACGUGCCAGCCUGGUGCACAAUUUAAACAAAACAGCUCAUUCGGAUACCCACGUGAUAUUUGCGAAGCCUACUCGCAAGGAAGGACAGUUGCCAACUUCCGUCUUGUAAAACGGCUACAUUUAAUGGCGGCUUUUUAUCUUUUGAUUGGUCGAACUUGUAUGGGCGGUGCCCCGUCAUAGGCGAUCAGCUUCGAAAACGGCUCGAGAAGCCCCUCAUCUCACACAAACCGGCGCCGUGACGGUGACGUAACGGGGAAUUUGACGGCUGUAUGAACGAGACGUAAUGCUGCAGGGCGUGAUAUUUUUAUCAAAAGGGCCGUUGUGGCACUGACACAGAAAAAUAUUUGAGCAUAGUUCAAGAGUUAAAUCUACGGUAAGGGAUAAAAAAACAGAAAUGCUACAGGGCUGAAGCAGCGUAAGAAUACGUUAAACCACAGAAAACGCAGAAAAACCAAAUUUUUCGGGAAAUUAAUGGUGCACGUAGUUCAGAAAUUAUCGAUGUCGCGCUCCGAAAGAGCGCCUGUCGCAGAGUACGAAAAUGUGUUAGUCAGCUUUUUACUCCGAAGAUCGCAAUAUUUUAGGGAUUUAUGCUUUAACUGUCAGUUUUGUAGUAGUUUCCAGCUUCAAUUUCUGGCGAAGUUGUGUUGUGGUAAAGUGCGAAUAAUAGAACUGACGGCUUGAUUUACUUAGUUGAUAUUUCGGUGUUCUGUUGCGUAUGCAUAAGCUUCAGCUGUGUACUUUGCACAUACACAUUCCGGAAGUUUCAUGUAGCACACACAGCAUAAUCGUCAUGCAGGGGCAAAUGCCAAACGAUGCUUCUCAGAACAAAACCGAAGAAAAAGAAGCGUAGUCCAGAAAACUACAAACGCGUUCAUAUAGAACAGUAUCGUCCACUGUAGCGCAGCCACAAAAUUCUUAUUUGAAGACUGGCGCCAUUGCGUUUUUAGGCAGAAAAUUUUGACUAAAGCUCGAUUAGCACUUGCCACAGGGCAAGCGUUUGUCAUCGUCCCUUCCCCCAAGAAAGCUGUAUUUUGUAUGUUUCCGCAAGUUUAUAUGUAAAAAGUUCCUCCUAUAACAUGUUAUAAAAGUUUGUUCCCACCG
Molecule: RNA transcript, 3092 nt
Organism: Rhipicephalus sanguineus (brown dog tick)
Lineage: Eukaryota; Metazoa; Arthropoda; Arachnida; Ixodida; Ixodidae
Exons: 6
Source: RefSeq, a predicted model, not a curated record